RNAcentral lists this ribosomal RNA (378 nucleotides) under uncultured eukaryote. Its description in RNAcentral is "partial 18S ribosomal RNA". It matches the Rfam family "Eukaryotic small subunit ribosomal RNA", at positions 592 to 976 of the family's 1831-position model. The record is from RNAcentral.
CAAUAGCGUAUAUUUAAGUUGUUGCAGUUAAAAAGCUCGUAGUUGGAUUUCGGGUGGGACGCAGCGGUCUCGCAUUGCGUUUGUACUGCUGCAGCCCUCCUUCUUGCCGGGGGCGGCCUCUCGGACUUCACUGUCUGGGGGUCAGAAUCGGCGAUGUUACUUUGAGUAAAUUAGAGUGUUCAAAGCAAGCUUACGCUCUGAAUAUAAUAGCAUGGGAUAACACGACAGGACUCUGGCCUAUCGUGUUGGUCUAUAGGACCGGAGUAAUGAUUAAGAGGGACAGUCGGGGGCAUUCGUAUUCCGUUGUCAGAGGUGAAAUUCUUGGAUUUACGGAAGACGAACAUCUGCGAAAGCAUUUGCCAAGGAUGUUUUCAUUGA